This 901-nucleotide ribosomal RNA is filed under the name Weissella cibaria. RNAcentral describes it as "bacterial SSU rRNA". It matches the Rfam family "Bacterial small subunit ribosomal RNA", at positions 62 to 942 of the family's 1533-position model. Lineage: Bacteria; Bacillati; Bacillota; Bacilli; Lactobacillales; Lactobacillaceae. The record is from RNAcentral.
UUGAGAGCUUGCUCAGAUAUGACGAUGGACAUUGCAAAGAGUGGCGAACGGGUGAGUAACACGUGGGAAACCUACCUCUUAGCAGGGGAUAACAUUUGGAAACAGAUGCUAAUACCGUAUAACAAUAGCAACCGCAUGGUUGCUACUUAAAAGAUGGUUCUGCUAUCACUAAGAGAUGGUCCCGCGGUGCAUUAGUUAGUUGGUGAGGUAAUGGCUCACCAAGACGAUGAUGCAUAGCCGAGUUGAGAGACUGAUCGGCCACAAUGGGACUGAGACACGGCCCAUACUCCUACGGGAGGCAGCAGUAGGGAAUCUUCCACAAUGGGCGAAAGCCUGAUGGAGCAACGCCGCGUGUGUGAUGAAGGGUUUCGGCUCGUAAAACACUGUUGUAAGAGAAGAAUGACAUUGAGAGUAACUGUUCAAUGUGUGACGGUAUCUUACCAGAAAGGAACGGCUAAAUACGUGCCAGCAGCCGCGGUAAUACGUAUGUUCCAAGCGUUAUCCGGAUUUAUUGGGCGUAAAGCGAGCGCAGACGGUUAUUUAAGUCUGAAGUGAAAGCCCUCAGCUCAACUGAGGAAUUGCUUUGGAAACUGGAUGACUUGAGUGCAGUAGAGGAAAGUGGAACUCCAUGUGUAGCGGUGAAAUGCGUAGAUAUAUGGAAGAACACCAGUGGCGAAGGCGGCUUUCUGGACUGUAACUGACGUUGAGGCUCGAAAGUGUGGGUAGCAAACAGGAUUAGAUACCCUGGUAGUCCACACCGUAAACGAUGAGUGCUAGGUGUUUGAGGGUUUCCGCCCUUAAGUGCCGCAGCUAACGCAUUAAGCACUCCGCCUGGGGAGUACGACCGCAAGGUUGAAACUCAAAGGAAUUGACGGGGACCCGCACAAGCGGUGGAGCAUGU